GUGCUAAGGUAGCAUAAUCAUUUGCUACUUAAUUGGUAGCUGGGAUGAAAGGUUAAACUAGUUUACUCAGUUUGUUGUGUUUUGUAAGAAAUUAAAGUCGAGGUAAGAAUUCUUUGAUCUGCUAGGGGACGAUAAGACCCUAGAAGCUUAACAAUAAGAGUAUUUAUUAGUUAUAAAAAUUAAUUUGUUUUACUGGGGCGGUAAAGGUAUAUAAACUAUUAGUGUAUUGAUAGAUCCUUAAAAUAAAGAUAAAACGGGAAAGUUAUUCUAGGGGUAACAGUGCAAUAUUUUUGGAGAGAUCAUAUCGAUAAAAAUGUUUGCAACCUCGAUGUUGAAUUAAGAUGUCUACGUGAAGCAGCAGGUACGUGAGAAGGUUUGUUCAACCUUUAAAUUUUUACAUGAUCUGAGUUCAAACCG
This 417-nucleotide ribosomal RNA is filed under the name Gammarus sp. lacustris-type SB33. Its description in RNAcentral is "partial 16S ribosomal RNA". It matches the Rfam family "Bacterial large subunit ribosomal RNA", at positions 1948 to 2618 of the family's 2925-position model. Lineage: Eukaryota; Metazoa; Arthropoda; Malacostraca; Amphipoda; Gammaridae. The record is from RNAcentral.